This 1346-nucleotide ribosomal RNA is filed under the name uncultured bacterium. Its description in RNAcentral is "bacterial SSU rRNA". It matches the Rfam family "Bacterial small subunit ribosomal RNA", at positions 28 to 1381 of the family's 1533-position model. The record is from RNAcentral.
GACGAACGCUGGCGGCGUGCUUAACACAUGCAAGUCGAACGAUGAAGCCUAGCUUGCUAGGUGGAUUAGUGGCGAACGGGUGAGUAAUACGUGAGUGACCUACCUUUGACUCUGGGAUAAGCCUGGGAAACUGGGUCUAAUACCGGAUACGACCAAUCUCCGCAUGGGGUGUUGGUGGAAAGCGUUAUGGAGUGGUUUUAGAUGGGCUCACGGCCUAUCAGCUUGUUGGUGAGGUAAUGGCUUACCAAGGCGACGACGGGUAGCCGGCCUGAGAGGGUGACCGGCCACACUGGGACUGAGACACGGCCCAGACUCCUACGGGAGGCAGCAGUGGGGAAUAUUGCACAAUGGGCGCAAGCCUGAUGCAGCGACGCCGCGUGAGGGAUGACGGCCUUCGGGUUGUAAACCUCUGUUAGCAUCGAAGAAGCGAAAGUGACGGUAGGUGCAGAGAAAGCGCCGGCUAACUACGUGCCAGCAGCCGCGGUAAUACGUAGGGCGCGAGCGUUGUCCGGAAUUAUUGGGCGUAAAGAGCUUGUAGGCGGUUGGUCGCGUCUGCUGUGAAGGCUGGGGCUUAACCCUGGUUUUGCAGUGGGUACGGGCUAACUAGAGUGCAGUAGGGGAGACUGGAAUUCCUGGUGUAGCGGUGGAAUGCGCAGAUAUCAGGAGGAACACCGAUGGCGAAGGCAGGUCUCUGGGCUGUAACUGACGCUGAGAAGCGAAAGCAUGGGGAGCGAACAGGAUUAGAUACCCUGGUAGUCCAUGCCGUAAACGUUGGGCACUAGGUGUGGGGGACAUUCCACGUUUUCCGCGCCGUAGCUAACGCAUUAAGUGCCCCGCCUGGGGAGUACGGCCGCAAGGCUAAAACUCAAAGAAAUUGACAGGGGCCCGCACAAGCGGCGGAGCAUGCGGAUUAAUUCGAUGCAACGCGAAGAACCUUACCAAGGCUUGACAUAUACUGGACUGCGUCAGAGAUGGCGUUUCCCUUCGGGGCUGGUAUACAGGUGGUGCAUGGUUGUCGUCAGCUCGUGUCGUGAGAUGUUGGGUUAAGUCCCGCAACGAGCGCAACCCUCGUUCUAUGUUGCCAGCACGUGAUGGUGGGGACUCAUAGGAGACUGCCGGGGUCAACUCGGAGGAAGGUGGGGAUGACGUCAAAUCAUCAUGCCCCUUAUGUCUUGGGCUUCACGCAUGCUACAAUGGCCGGUACAGAGGGUUGCGAUACUGUGAGGUGGAGCUAAUCCCUAAAAGCCGGUCUCAGUUCGGAUUGGGGUCUGCAACUCGACCCCAUGAAGUCGGAGUCGCUAGUAAUCGCAGAUCAGCAACGCUGCGGUGAAUACGUUCCCGGGCCU